Molecule: ribosomal RNA, 454 nt
Filed under: uncultured bacterium
Lineage: Bacteria
Description: bacterial SSU rRNA
Rfam family: Bacterial small subunit ribosomal RNA
Source: RNAcentral
GAUGAACGCUGGCGGUAUGCUUAACACAUGCAAGUCGUACGAAGAUCUUUGAUCUUAGUGGCGGACGGGUGAGUAACACGUGAGAAUCUGCCCUUAGGAAGAGGAUAACAGCUGGAAACGGUUGCUAAUACUCUAUACGCCGAGAGGUAAAAGGAUUUAUCCACCUUAGGAAGAGCUCGCGUCUGAUUAGCUUGUUGGUAAGGUAAUGGCUUACCAAGGCAAUGAUCAGUAGCUGGUCUGAGAGGAUGAUCAGCCACACUGGGACUGAGACACGGCCCAGACUCCUACGGGAGGCAGCAGUGAGGAAUUUUCCGCAAUGGGCGAAAGCCUGACGGAGCAAUGCCGCGUGAAGGAUGAAGGCCUAUGGGUUGUAAACUGCUUUUAUACAGGAAGAAACACCUCUACGUGUAGAGACUUGACGGUACUGUAUGAAUAAGCAUCGGCUAACUCCGUG